This is a long non-coding RNA of Nyctereutes procyonoides (raccoon dog), 382 nucleotides long. RefSeq lists it as uncharacterized. Lineage: Eukaryota; Metazoa; Chordata; Mammalia; Carnivora; Canidae. The record is from RefSeq and is a predicted model, not a curated record. The transcript has 4 exons.
CGCAGCUUCCCUUCCAAUCACACUCUGGAUAGUGGAAUGCAGAGAGAAGACAGGAUCUGGGCUCAUCUCUUGAUUGAGGCCUUGGAGUAUUGAAUAUUUAGCAGGGACUCUGUACCCAAGCCAGGCCAGGUGCAGGAAGGGGCUGGGAUCAGGCCUCAGGCCUCCCCUGGGCAACGAUUUCAGGCAAGAAAGCUUUCUAUUUAACAGCCAGAAACUUGACCAAGCUAUGUGAUCCUUAUAAAACCUUAGACUAUUUGGGAGCCAGUAAGAAGAUGAAGUCCAAGAGAUGUGGGUUUGGAUUAGCUGGUGACCUAAUAGUUGAGCAUAAAUGGCCUUCAUCUCCCCCUCAAAAAGAAGAGAGACACAUAAGCAAAAAAACAGA